AAGGGCGUGUAGGCGGCUUAGCAAGUCAGAUGUGGAAGCCGCGGGCUCAACUCGGGGAGGACAUCUGAUACUGCUAAGCUAGAGGGCAGGAGAGGAGAGCGGAACUUCCGGUGUAGCGGUGAAAUGCGUAGAUAUCGGAAGGAACGCCGGUGGCGAAGGCGGCUCUCUGGACUGUCCCUGACGCUGAGGCGCGAAAGCUAGGGGAGCGAACGGGAUUAGAUACCCCGGUAGUCCUAGCCGUAAACGAUGGGCACUAGGUGUGGGGAGUUAGACUCUCCGUGCUGCAGCUAACGCGAUAAGUGCCCCGCCUGGGGAGUACGGCCGCAAGGCUAAAACUCAAAGGAAUUGACGGA
RNAcentral lists this ribosomal RNA (353 nucleotides) under bacterium enrichment culture DGGE band 1521cmc3. Its description in RNAcentral is "bacterial SSU rRNA". It matches the Rfam family "Bacterial small subunit ribosomal RNA", at positions 563 to 917 of the family's 1533-position model. The record is from RNAcentral.